RNAcentral lists this ribosomal RNA (166 nucleotides) under Syphacia obvelata. RNAcentral's name for it is "partial large subunit ribosomal RNA". Lineage: Eukaryota; Metazoa; Nematoda; Chromadorea; Rhabditida; Oxyuridae. The record is from RNAcentral.
GAUUUAUUUAUAAAAAUUACUCCGGAGUUAACAGAAUAAUAUUUUUGAUAUAGUUGUUAUAUUAAAAAAAAUAUUACAUCGAUGUUGUAUUUGUAUAAGCUGGUGAGUAAAAAAAUUGGUGUUUGAGACUGUUCUUCUUUUAUUAAAUAUGACGUGAUAUUAGUUU